CCGAGUCGCUGUGAUUACAGGGGCGCCUCUGCACCCAGCACAAGUUAAUUAUAUUUCAAUAAAGCUUAUAAACGAUUCUAAAAGAGCUGACAUCUCAUUUUCCAGGUGGCAAAGCAGAGGCAGUCUGGAGGACAGGGGGAGGGCCUGCUGACCAGUGUCUGGGCUUGUGAUUGCUCCAGAAGGGUUAAUAACCGGCCAGAGCUGGUUCACCUACUCAUUGGACCCCAGCUCUCCCGGGAAGGGAUACUGUAAGGCAAGGAUCUGAUGGAGGCUCAGAGGUGUGAUCCAAAGGCCAGGGUGGCCCAAGGGAAAGCGAGCCCUCUAAGCCUAUGAGCAAGUGCUCAGGUAGCUUACAGCUCCGUGUAUGGGGUCUGGGGACAGGACCACGGGGGUCCGGGUGUGACUCGGG
This 409-nucleotide long non-coding RNA is filed under the name Marmota monax (woodchuck). Lineage: Eukaryota; Metazoa; Chordata; Mammalia; Rodentia; Sciuridae. The record is from RNAcentral.